GUUAAAGUACUUGUAACCCAGUAGAGAAUUGGGUCCAAUUAUAUCUUUAUUUUUCUAUAGUUUCCUUAUUUAUCUCAUUUUCAUUUGUUAAUCAAUCUGUCAAUGACUUAUUUUACACACACAGUCCUUAUUUGUCAUAUCAACUAGAGCAAACUUAUGAUUGGUUAGAGGGAGUUAAGUCCCACCCUCUCUUUACGCAGAAGUCAGUGAGUUGCAGUGCGGGUAAAACAGCAGCGGUCGGAGUGGAUGAGAAAUACAGAGUUAGAAGAGCGAUUAUUAACAUAUCCAUGAGAUAAAAUAGUCUUGUGAAGACGUCAGAGGUGUGCGAGGGUCCGUGAGCCAGGAGUAGUAGUACUUUUGGCAUUAUCGUCUUGGCUGGGUUUUUUUGAGAACAAGAGAACUGGAUCUGGAUUCUCCCUGUGGAUGGGAGAUGGCGAGCCCCCAGUGAGAUCUCUUCUUAACCUAAGGAGUGAGGAACCGAGACCUGAGAAGAGGACCUGGUAUCUUUUUUUGCUUCCACUCAAGUAUCAGUGUGGUAGGACCACCACACAUCCGACUACUUGAAUUUUUCCCCCUGAUUUGACAUAAAACAUUGACUUGAGCGCGCUGACUGAUAUGGCAAAGACAUUAAAGGGACAUUACACUCUAAGUUCUGCUGAAAGACUGUGAAAUCUUGAGAUAUUGAUGAUAAUUGCACUGCAUUUUAUGUUCAUGUUUUAUAACUUGGUACAGUAAACUUACCUCAAACGUU
Molecule: long non-coding RNA, 751 nt
Organism: Thunnus maccoyii (southern bluefin tuna)
Lineage: Eukaryota; Metazoa; Chordata; Actinopteri; Scombriformes; Scombridae
Exons: 2
Source: RefSeq, a predicted model, not a curated record